Molecule: non-coding RNA, 939 nt
Organism: Sapajus apella (tufted capuchin)
Lineage: Eukaryota; Metazoa; Chordata; Mammalia; Primates; Cebidae
Source: the annotation of a RefSeq genome assembly
GUUUUCCUUCUUGUCCUAGAUCAGGCUUUAAGCUGAGAAAUACCGUGCCUCAUGAAUACACAAACAACCUGAGGUCUUCUGAGAUAAAUAUAGAUGUGUUGGUUGCCUGCAAGCAUCACCCAACAACCACAUCCCUCCUCUGAAGAAGCCCCAGUGGGCAGAGCUCAUCACCAUGGACUGGACCUGGAGGAUCCUCUUCUUGGUGGCAGCAGCUACAGGUGCCCAGUCCCAGGUGCAGCUGGUGCAGUCUGGGGCUGAGGUGAAGAAGCCUGAGGCCUCGGUGAAGGUCUCCUGCAAGGCUUCUGGAUACGCCUUCACCAGCUAUGGUGUAGGCUGGGUGCGACAGGCCUCUGGACAAGGGCUCGAGUGGAUGGGAGGAAUCAACACCAACACUGGUGGCACAAGCUAUGCACAGAAGUUCCAGGGCAGAGUCACCAUGACCAGGGACACGUCCACGAGCACAGCCUACAUGGAGCUGAGCAGCCUGAGAUCUGAGGACAUGGCCAUUUAUUACUGUGCGAAAGACACAGUGUGAAAACCACAUUGUGAGAGUGUCAGAAACCCUGAGGGAGGAGGCAGCUGUGCUGAGCUGAGGCGAUGACAGGGGUUAUUAAGUUCAAGGCUGUUUACAAACUGGGUUAUAUAUUUGAGAGAAAAUAACAGUGGAAACAAGUGCACACUCUCAUUUUAAGAGAAAUAUUCCAUUCAAGAGUCAUCAUAUAAGCCAAAUUCACAGAGUGGGAAAGGCCACACUUAAUACAGUUGAUGCAGACAUUCCAUGAAGGUGCUGCUUUGAACAUGUUUUUAAAUUAGAUGAAUUAAUUAUCUGCAGCAAGCUUAUCUGAUCAUGUGGUAAGACUAAAUAUGAUUCUUAAAAAGUGGCUAAAAUUUCUUUCAAAUGUUUCUGUCACUCCUUAUCAUAAAAUUUAUUUUAGAGCA